This 373-nucleotide ribosomal RNA is filed under the name uncultured bacterium. RNAcentral's name for it is "bacterial SSU rRNA". It matches the Rfam family "Bacterial small subunit ribosomal RNA", at positions 525 to 896 of the family's 1533-position model. The record is from RNAcentral.
ACAGAGGUCCCAACCGUUGUUCGGAUUCAUUGGGCGUAAAGGGUGCGUAGGCGGCGGAGUAAGUCAGGUGUGAAAUCUCGGGGCUCAACCCCGAAACUGCACUUGAUACUGCUUCGCUAGAGUACUGGAGAGGAGACUGGAAUUUACGGUGUAGCAGUGAAAUGCGUAGAUAUCGUAAGGAAGACCAGUGGCGAAGGCGAGUCUCUGGACAGUUACUGACGCUGAGGCACGAAGGCCAGGGGAGCAAACGGGAUUAGAUACCCCGGUAGUCCUGGCAGUAAACGGUGCACGUUUGGUGUGGGAGGAUUCGACCCCUUCCGUGCCGGAGCUAACGCGUUAAACGUGCCGCCUGGGAAGUACGGUCGCAAGAUUA